Non-coding RNA from Schizosaccharomyces pombe (fission yeast), 293 nucleotides. The record is from the annotation of a GenBank genome assembly. Lineage: Eukaryota; Fungi; Ascomycota; Schizosaccharomycetes; Schizosaccharomycetales; Schizosaccharomycetaceae.
AAAAUAACGCAGGUUCGUCCAGUAGCCCAUAAAGCAAAUAUAGAACACAGAAAAUCCAACUCGUGUCCCAUAUGUAUUCCAACUGUCUUUCCCAAGCCUAAAUCAUCACAAAAUUUAGCAAUUGUGUUAACACGACGAAGUAAUUCUGUAUAUGUAUAUUUAGCAACAAUUCCACGUUCAUUGUACACGGAGAUAAACCGAUGAUCUGGUGUUUCUUUUGCGUUUUUCAAAAGGCGAGCGAUUGGUGUAUCUUCUUCUUUAGAUAUGGAUGAAAACGAAACUGAUUCUGACGA